This 383-nucleotide ribosomal RNA is filed under the name uncultured eukaryote. RNAcentral's name for it is "partial 18S ribosomal RNA". It matches the Rfam family "Eukaryotic small subunit ribosomal RNA", at positions 592 to 976 of the family's 1831-position model. The record is from RNAcentral.
CAAUAGCGUAUAUUAAAGUUGUUGCAGUUAAAAAGCUCGUAGUUGGAUUUCUGGUAGGAGCGACCGUGCCGAACUUGAUUGUUCGUGUAUUGUGUUGUCUUCAGCCAUCCUCGUGGAGAACUUUUCGGGCAUUAAUUUGUCGGGAUUGGGACCCGCGUCGUUUACUGUGAAAAAAUUAGAGUGUUUAAAGCAGGCAAUCGCUUGAAUACAUUAGCAUGGAAUAAUAAGAUAGGACUUUGGUACUAUUUUGUUGGUUUGCAUACCAAAUUAAUGAUCAACAGGAACAGUUUGAGGAUAUUCGUAUGAACAUGUCAGAGGUGAAAUUCUUGGAUUUUGAUCAGACGAACUACUGCGAAAGCAUUUAUCAAGGAUGUCUUCAUUAA